RNAcentral lists this ribosomal RNA (469 nucleotides) under uncultured bacterium. RNAcentral's name for it is "bacterial SSU rRNA". It matches the Rfam family "Bacterial small subunit ribosomal RNA", at positions 355 to 825 of the family's 1533-position model. The record is from RNAcentral.
UCGAGAAUCUUCCGCAAUGGGCGAAAGCCUGACGGAGCGACACCGCGUGCAGGAUGAAGGCCUUCGGGUUGUAAACUGCUGUCACGCCAUAGGAAUGUCUGGUCGUUAAUAGCGGCCAGAUUGACCAAAGCGAGAGGAAGCACCGGCUAACUCCGUGCCAGCAGCCGCGGUAAGACAGAGGGGGCAAGCGUUGCUCGGAAUUACUGGGCGUAAAGGGCGCGUAGGCGGGAUGGUAAGUCGGUCGUGAAAUCCCUCGGCUCAACCGAGGAACGUCGAUCGAUACUACCGUUCUUGAGGAUUGCAGAGGAGACUGGAAUUCCCGGUGUAGCGGUGAAAUGUGUAGAGAUCGGGAGGAACACCGGUGGCGAAGGCGGGUCUCUGGGCAAUUCCUGACGCUGAGGCGCGAAAGCGUGGGGAGCAAACGGGAUUAGAUACCCAAGUAGUCCCUGAGCGGGCUGGCAAGGCGCAU